RNAcentral lists this ribosomal RNA (453 nucleotides) under uncultured bacterium. RNAcentral describes it as "bacterial SSU rRNA". It matches the Rfam family "Bacterial small subunit ribosomal RNA", at positions 8 to 507 of the family's 1533-position model. The record is from RNAcentral.
AGAGUUUGAUCAUGGCUCAGAACGAACGCUGGCGGCAUGCCUAACACAUGCAAGUCGAACGAGACCUUCGGGUCUAGUGGCGCACGGGUGCGUAACGCGUGGGAAUCUGCCCUAGGGUACGGAAUAACUCAGAGAAAUUUGAGCUAAUACCGUAUGAUGACGUAAGUCCAAAGAUUUAUCGCCCUGGGAUGAGCCCGCGUAGGAUUAGCUUGUUGGUGAGGUAAAAGCUCACCAAGGCGACGAUCCUUAGCUGGUCUGAGAGGAUGAUCAGCCACACUGGGACUGAGACACGGCCCAGACUCCUACGGGAGGCAGCAGUGGGGAAUAUUGGACAAUGGGCGAAAGCCUGAUCCAGCAAUGCCGCGUGAGUGAUGAAGGCCUUAGGGUUGUAAAGCUCUUUUACCCGGGAAGAUAAUGACUGUACCGGGAGAAUAAGCCCCGGCUAACUCCGUG